CUUUGCUUUUCUAGUGCAAGUCAUCACCAACCGGUCUAACAUAUGGCUGCUCUACUCAACUGGUUCAAACAACUUGGGACUUCUAUAGUUGAUGGAUUUGGAGCAUGUUGUGGCAAGACCAAGGAGGAUCCAACGACAACAACGGUGGAAAUCAGCAGGGAUCCUGAUGGUGAAGUCAACAUAAGUCAAAUUAGUAGCGGCGGUGGUGGCUCAACCCAUGCAGAUCUCCUUGCUACUAGUAUGAUCAGCAGUGGUGGGGGUGGUAGUACACAUGACACAAACCUUUGAGCAAGCCAAUAAUUCCCACAAACAUGAUGUUGGAAAACUUUUGUGUGGCCAUUGUAAUGAACGGUUAUCAAGAAUGUGAGGAUUAAUUACACGAAAUAGUAAUUGAACCUACUACCAAUUAUCUUUUACGUGUUUGAUGUGUUUCCUUUAUGUGUAUGGGUUUGUUUCCGGUUGUUCUUAUGGAUUGUUUCGAUUUGAAUAUGUUUCAUUAUUGUAACAAAUUUAUUCAAAAGUUAGAAAAAAAAAAUCAUCAAAUAUGUAUCUGUUGCAUUGAUUUUUAAGUAAAAGACUUUUAUGUAGAAA
Helianthus annuus (common sunflower) is the source of this 591-nucleotide long non-coding RNA. RefSeq lists it as uncharacterized. NCBI's taxonomy places the organism in Eukaryota, Viridiplantae, Streptophyta, Magnoliopsida, Asterales, Asteraceae. The record is from RefSeq and is a predicted model, not a curated record. The transcript is spliced from 2 exons.